Molecule: ribosomal RNA, 323 nt
Filed under: uncultured Ceratobasidiaceae
Lineage: Eukaryota; Fungi; Basidiomycota; Agaricomycetes; Cantharellales; Ceratobasidiaceae
Description: eukaryotic LSU rRNA
Source: RNAcentral
CGCACCUUGCGCUCCUUGGUAUUCCUUGGAGCAUGCCUGUUUUGAGUAUCUAAUGAAAUUCUCAAAACAAACCUUUUGUUAAUUCAUUUGGUUCCGUUUUGGACUUGGAGGCCUUGCGGAUUCACGUCUGCUCCUCUUAAAAGUCAUUAGUCUGGAUCUCAGUGAGCUUGGUUCCACUCGGCGUGAUAAGUAUCACUCGCUGAGGACACCCGUAAAAAGGUGGCCAGGAUUCGCAGAUGAACCGCUUCUAAUAGUCCGUUGAAUCGGGACAGCAUACUUUAUGAUCUGAUCUCAAAUCAGGUAGGACUACCCGCUGAACUUAA